Molecule: non-coding RNA, 351 nt
Organism: Lupinus albus (white lupine)
Lineage: Eukaryota; Viridiplantae; Streptophyta; Magnoliopsida; Fabales; Fabaceae
Source: the annotation of a GenBank genome assembly
GUCUACGGUCUCCCCACCGGAAGUAGGAUAUCCAUAAUCACUUACCCUGUCUUAGUAGAGUGAGGAGUGAACGGACUCAAAGACAGUUGUCAGGGGGGCUCCGGCUUCUAAGGAAUGAGAAUGGGAAUCGGCACCGUUCCUGCUGUGAGAGCUUGACUGAUGCUAUUCUACCUUGCCUUUGUAUUUAAUGAUGUAAAGUAGGAAGGCCCACUUAGAGGUUUCCGAACGGUCACGCUUUACCGCCUUGCCUCCUCACAUUGGUAAGGAGGCUAUGAGCUAAGCUAUACUUGUAAUCAAAGGCUGAGCCCUUGGGGAACCAUCUAAUGCUUUACUAGACUAGCUACUGUAUGG